AUGCCGCUCCACCUAUGGUCGCUUGAGGGGGCGGCCGAGGUCUUGGGCGACAAGUGCAUCAUCGACCGCCUCGACAGCCGCACCCACGAGCACGGGCACACGAAGACUUUCGCAUGCUGGGUGUGGGUGUGGGAUGUGGCGUUCAUCCCCACCAGGCACACCAUCUGGAGGGUGGCGCGGGGCGCUGGCCAUGUGGAGGCCAUGCUGGGCUUCUCACCCCCCAGCCGGAAGGUGGCGCCGCCGCCGCGCGUCCGGCGCCAUGACAUGCUCAUCCACGUUGAUCGCGUCGAGGAUUGGUCGCCCCUCUCGCCGCGCUCGUCGCACUCGGCACAGAGCGGCCUUCCCUCGUCAGAGUCGGAUGACAUGCACUCGGUCCCGUCCAUCUGGCCGGGCACAUGGACCAUGCACGUUGAGGACGGCCAAGGCACCCGGCGCCACCCGGCCCUGGUGGCUCCGUCGGGCUGCGGUGGCGUGCGCCAAGGUGGGCCCCACGACUGCGACGACCACGACAGCGACAAGGUCGGGCGGCGCUCCUCGAAGGACCCCCUACUGGGCUGCAAGCAGGCUGGUGGCACAGUGCAGCCCCGAAAGGCGUCUGCAAGCUCAAGCCGCCAGCGGAGCCGGAUGCCUUCCAGUCGUCGGAACAGGACCGGUGGCAGGCCGGAGCCUGUCGUCCUCAAGGCCACGCCCCCACUGCCCCUGGCCCCGCGUGAGCCGGCAGUUGCGGUUGGGGUCGCUACCGCUGGGUAG
Molecule: ribosomal RNA, 750 nt
Filed under: Triticum aestivum (bread wheat)
Lineage: Eukaryota; Viridiplantae; Streptophyta; Magnoliopsida; Poales; Poaceae
Description: partial small subunit ribosomal RNA
Source: RNAcentral